GGGCUAUUAGGAAAGUCAGUGUGCUUUUUGAUGAGGUUCAGGAAAGCAUUGUUUGUCUCAAUCUACCCCCUCUCCCCAACAGUGAACAAGAAAGCAGGUAUCCUCGCUGACUAUUGGCAGCCCUUCUGGGACAACAAAGGCACCAGCCUCAGGAGUUGGGAAGACUGAGUCGCCAGGGACGUUGCUGAGCCAUUGGAGCCAUCCUUACCCGCAAGCCCACCCCACCUUGGGACUUCCUUUUGGAACAUGUCACCUUCCCAUGUUUUCCAAGUCAUAAAAGUGGUACAUGUCCAUCACAGACAAAUGGGAAGUGCAGAAAAGCACAAAGAAUAAAACAGAGACAGCAGGGUUCAGGCUUGGAGUUGUGGUGGAAUUGGCCCACAUCAACCCCACCCUCCCUUCACGCAGCAGAUGACUGGGACAUAGAGAAGCUGAUGGGGCCACUGCCACCAAAUUUCCACCUGCAGCCCUUCUCGGGGGCCACCACCAUGCUCCUCAACAGCUGUCACUGACAGGAGAGAGCUUGAGGAUCUUGAGGAGCUGCUGACCCUGCAGAACUGCUCUGAGACCAGGGUGAGAUUUCCAGGUGAAAUGAUUCAUGGCUAGGCUGAUUUAACUAAUGGGUUUUUCAUCAGAGUAACACAUAUUCAGAUAAGUCCCAUGCUCAGUGAUGGCAUCAAGCAAUGUCAGGAUUAGAUGGGAAAUUAGAGGCAAUUUGCUCCAAGUGUCUACUUGUGUACCCUCAACAGA
RNAcentral lists this long non-coding RNA (750 nucleotides) under Pongo abelii (Sumatran orangutan). RNAcentral describes it as "lincRNA". Lineage: Eukaryota; Metazoa; Chordata; Mammalia; Primates; Hominidae. The record is from RNAcentral.